UUAAGUUCAGCGGGUAUUCCUACCUGAUCCGAGGUCAACAUUUCAGAGUUUGGUUUGUUUUACGGCUGUGGCCGCGCCGCGCUCCCGGUGCGAGUGUGCAAACUACUGCGCAUGAGAGGCUGCGGCGAGGCCGCCACUGUAUUUCGGGGCCGGCCGGUUAAGGGCCGAUCCCCAACGCCGGACCCCCGGAGGGGUUCGAG
RNAcentral lists this unclassified non-coding RNA (200 nucleotides) under Trichoderma sp. RNAcentral's name for it is "partial internal transcribed spacer 2". Lineage: Eukaryota; Fungi; Ascomycota; Sordariomycetes; Hypocreales; Hypocreaceae. The record is from RNAcentral.